GAUGAACGCUGGCGGCGUGCUUAACACAUGCAAGUCGAACGAUGAAGCCCAGCUUGCUGGGUGGAUUAGUGGCGAACGGGUGAGUAACACGUGAGUAACCUGCCCUUAACUCUGGGAUAAGCCUGGGAAACUGGGUCUAAUACCGGAUAGGAGCGCCGACCGCAUGGUGGGUGUUGGAAAGAUUUAUCGGUUUUGGAUGGACUCGCGGCCUAUCAGCUUGUUGGUGAGGUAAUGGCUCACCAAGGCGACGACGGGUAGCCGGCCUGAGAGGGUGACCGGCCACACUGGGACUGAGACACGGCCCAGACUCCUACGGGAGGCAGCAGUGGGGAAUAUUGCACAAUGGGCGCAAGCCUGAUGCAGCGACGCCGCGUGAGGGAUGACGGCCUUCGGGUUGUAAACCUCUUUCAGUAGGGAAGAAGCGAAAGUGACGGUACCUGCAGAAGAAGCACCGGCUAACUACGUG
Molecule: ribosomal RNA, 466 nt
Filed under: uncultured bacterium
Lineage: Bacteria
Description: partial 16S ribosomal RNA
Rfam family: Bacterial small subunit ribosomal RNA
Source: RNAcentral